UGGCGACCGGCGCACGGGUGAGUAACGCGUAUCCAACCUGCCCUUUUACUAUGGGACAGCCCGUCGAAAGGCGGAUUAAUACCGUAUGUUGUCAUGUUGAUGCAUAUUUUCAUGACCAAAGGCUUCGGCCGGUAAAGGAUGGGGAUGCGUCUGAUUAGCUUGCCGGCGGGGUAACGGCCCACCGGGGCGACGAUCAGUAGGGGUUCUGAGAGGAAGGUCCCCCACAUUGGAACUGAGACACGGUCCAAACUCCUACGGAAGGCAGCAG
Molecule: ribosomal RNA, 268 nt
Filed under: uncultured bacterium
Lineage: Bacteria
Description: partial 16S ribosomal RNA
Rfam family: Bacterial small subunit ribosomal RNA
Source: RNAcentral